UAAACUGUUGAUCGUCCUAUCAACAAAAUCGAUCAAUAAAAGAUCAGUCGAUCAUACAAUAGAGUUUAUAUUCUAAACAUUUGUAUGAGUGGGUUUGUGAAUGAUAUAUAGAUAUUUUAAGAGGAGUUUGUUUAUUUAGAGUGUUGGAUUGUGAUAAAAGGGAAGAGGAGGGGCAAUUUGGAGGAAGAAAGGAAAAAAAGAAAAUGUAGGGAGAAAAAGCAGAAGAUGUGAAAACCCCAGACAUGGGCAAAGGGAAAGGUCGCGGUCAGGGAUAGGGUGUCAUCACGAAUCCAACAAGUCUCUGUCCAUAUCAAUAAUGACACCAUCACACUCUGAACCAACCAACCCAUUUUCAUUUACUGCAUAAUAUUAUUAUUAACCUUUACAUUACAACAUUUUCAUUUCUCAUCAUCCCUUUCCUUCCAU
Molecule: long non-coding RNA, 426 nt
Filed under: Vigna radiata
Lineage: Eukaryota; Viridiplantae; Streptophyta; Magnoliopsida; Fabales; Fabaceae
Description: long non-coding RNA (VRAD_LNC004379)
Source: RNAcentral